CAAAAGAAUGACAUCGAUUUCCUGAUGCUGUUUGCACUGAGACGUUUGUUUAGGUUUUACUCCCACCAGCUAACGGUCUCAUCCUGAAGAUAAGGGGACUUCUGUGAUUGAACUCGUCUAUUGAUGGAAUGUCAAAGUCUGUCAGAGACUGAGGCUGACGUCUUGUUGCCACGGUAAUUAUUGUGCCAAUCCUGGUGGAAUUUCAGGUUGACAAUUUGCACACAUUAAUAAAUGAUGGCUUUUGGGGCAAGAGUUUGACCAUAACGAAGAA
This is a long non-coding RNA of Saccostrea cuccullata (small rock oyster), 271 nucleotides long. RefSeq lists it as uncharacterized. Lineage: Eukaryota; Metazoa; Mollusca; Bivalvia; Ostreida; Ostreidae. The record is from RefSeq and is a predicted model, not a curated record. The transcript is spliced from 3 exons.